GAUGAACGCUAGCUACAGGCUUAACACAUGCAAGUCGAGGGGAAACGGCAUUAAGUGCUUGCACUUUUUGGACGUCGACCGGCGCACGGGUGAGUAACGCGUAUCCAACCUUCCCAUGACUAAGGGAUAACCUGCCGAAAGGCAGACUAAUACCUUAUGGUCUUCACUGACGGCAUCAGAUGUGAAGUAAAGAUUUAUCGGUUAUGGAUGGGGAUGCGUCUGAUUAGCUUGUUGGCGGGGUAACGGCCCACCAAGGCAACGAUCAGUAGGGGUUCUGAGAGGAAGGUCCCCCACAUUGGAACUGAGACACGGUCCAAACUCCUACGGGAGGCAGCAGUGAGGAAUAUUGGUCAAUGGGCGAGAGCCUGAACCAGCCAAGUAGCGUGCAGGAUGACGGUCCUAUGGGUUGUAAACUGCUUUUGUAUGGGGAUAAAGUCAAUCACGUGUGAUUGUUUGCAGGUACCAUACGAAUAAGGACCGGCUAAUUCCGUGCCAGCAGCCGCGGUAAUACGGAAGGUCCGGGCGUUAUCCGGAUUUAUUGGGUUUAAAGGGAGCGUAGGCUGGAGAUUAAGUGUGUUGUGAAAUGUAGGCGCUCAACGUCUGACUUGCAGCGCAUACUGGUUUCCUUGAGUACGCACAACGUUGGCGGAAUUCGUCGUGUAGCGGUGAAAUGCUUAGAUAUGACGAAGAACUCCGAUUGCGAAGGCAGCUGACGGGAGCGCAACUGACGCUGAAGCUCGAAGGUGCGGGUAUCGAACAGG
RNAcentral lists this ribosomal RNA (761 nucleotides) under Prevotella melaninogenica. Its description in RNAcentral is "bacterial SSU rRNA". It matches the Rfam family "Bacterial small subunit ribosomal RNA", at positions 28 to 776 of the family's 1533-position model. Lineage: Bacteria; Pseudomonadati; Bacteroidota; Bacteroidia; Bacteroidales; Prevotellaceae. The record is from RNAcentral.